UCUUGAUAUCCAAAUUUCCCCCUAAACCUUCUCGCUCUACUACAUGUUUUAAACGCGAUCCUCGUAGCUUGUUCCAAGAAAAUCGCCGACGAAGUUGCAUCAUAAUCAAUAAAUCAAUUAAAUCAUGGCCAUUUUUUUCACGACGUGUAUUAAAAUUUUACUAGGAUCGAUUUACACCAGAUUCAAUGUCUGGUGAUCAUCCACUGAAAUUAAAACCAUUUUCUUUGUCAAUAACAUCUAGGGGAGAGUGGGUGAAUGGGAUAAGGUGUCGAUUAGGAAGAGGAGGAAGAGAGGUACACCUUGAGACCAGGGGUUCAAACCCCCUGGAGAGCAUUGUUGGUUGCUCAUAUACCCGCUCUGGCGCCACUGUGGCGUCACAUGCAGGAUUAUCUAACCCCGUGCUGGAGAGGGAACUCUGCGCUUAUGGACGUGCAAUUCUGUCUGAUGGCAAAAUUGUGCGAAUAGGAAGGAUGUUGUUAAAUCUCUUCAUUCGAAACAUGUAAUAAGCAUUGUACAUCAAUCCGACAUCAUUGAAAGGCUGGUCUUUGACGCUGCCAAGACUUGGGAAUUGACGACUCGAUGAGAAUCAAUCAAAGAUAAAACUUAUUGAAAUUUAUUAGCCAACUGAUUUUGGGAAUCGACAACUCGGAACCGAACACAAGGCGAAACUUCCGUCUAGCAAAUCUCGGGGCGACGGACUCGCAUCGCACGUCGAGGAAAAAUUCUCUUCAUUCGCUGUUCUAGAUGAUUUGGAGUGGUCCUUAAUCAUUCGUACCUUAUUGAUGGCGCCUUUUCACAAAAUCAAUUCAGUCCAAGCAAAGCAUCUGCCGUUUGGAUUAGAAUUUCCUUUCGUUUUUCUGAAACACGUGGCCUGAAUUAAACAAAACCAGCAGAGCAACAAGAUUCGUCAUCCGUGUCUAACUACAGCUGUGGCUAAUAUCCAUCGAUGAAGAACUCUCCUUUGAAGAAAUAAUGCGGAUUGACAUCGCUGGGCCCACUGGUGUUUUGGCAACUCCAUCAGAGUCAUGACGUCAUUACACGCUGGUCGUUUCUCAACGGGCCCCUGCAAGAUAACGGUACAAAAACAGUUUACAGCCAUACUACCUGUGCGAUGAGAUUUACAUCACAAUUGGAACCUACUUGUGGGGAAAUCUGCAGGAAUUGCAACGAGUUUAUUCAGCCAGAAUAAAUUUGCGGCCCAGGAAACAUUGCACCAUAUCAUCCAAUCGUUCUUAUCGAGCUGGUUUUUAUGGGGACGGUGGUGUGAAUUGUGCAAGGUUAACGGUUCAUCAACAAGAAGAAAGCGGAUGAUGUGAAAAUUAAAAUUCAUUUCUGUAGUUGCGAUUUUUUCGUGUCAUUUUACGCAAAGCUAGACAGCCAGAUAUUAUUUUACUAAAGUUUAUAAUAAUCACUGAAAUUUCUGUUCCAUAAUCUUUUAGUUUCGCGCGGUUUGGAAACUAAAAAAAAACGUUUGUUUUGAAUUUUUUAUCAUUUCAUGCCAUCUAGGUUUGAUUCAUUAAACCUUGUGUUGGCUUACCAGCGGCCAUUUUCUUUCAACAGUUUUUCACGUUGACACAUCAACACAGUGCACGGUACACACCAAGCUUUCACGUAAAAUGAAGAAGUAAAAAUUCCUUUCCAGCUCCAGUCUUCACAAAAACGAUUUGAUUCACUUUCUUCUCCUGGACAUGCGGAGGACCUAAAUGGACAAUUUCAGCUUCAAUCUUUGAUAACGACAGAUAUCCGACGGCGUCAUUUGUUGCAGUCAAACGUUGCGACAUUUCUGGGGGUAAAUGGCCGAAGAAUUAUCAUUAUUAUCCGUUCAGCGUAAUAAUAAUUUUAAUUUGAAAUGAACGUACCAGUCAAUUCCUUCUUCGAACUGACAAUGAUGAUGUUCGUUUCGAGAAAGUGUUGAAGUGCCGCUGCUUGUUUUUCUUUAUUUAAAAUUAGAAUUAUUUUAGGGUUUUCUUAUUUUAAACAACAAAAAAAGAAAGCCGAGUGUUACCAUUUGGGUCUUUUAAAUUUCCUGCUGCCAUGUUGGUUUCGGUUAAACGUUUGACGGUUUCUAAUAUUUCAAACAUGAGUUUCUUUUUUAAAAUAUCCACCAUUUGUUUGUUUCACAAAAAAAUGUUACCGUUCAUCUCCUCCUUCAAAUUCAUAACCGUGUCUUCCGUGUGAUCCAAACGUUGUGAGGUCGCUGCAAGUUCACACGAGAAGCGUUUAAUUUAUUUCCCCACCGUCCCUUUUUUUUCAAUUUCCGGAAGCAGUAAAUUAUACCUUUCAGUUCCUUGGUCAAAUCCGCCUUUGACUUGGUGCAACAGCUCAGAGCUUUGGCCGAUUCCUGCUUUAUAGUGUCUGGAAAAGUCGAAUAAGAAAGUGUUCGUUCGUGCCCUUUUAAAAUUUCUUAAAAGAUAAUUAUACCGGACAGUUCCUUCUGCAAAGUCACGACGAUGACGUUUGUUUCCACCAGGCGCUGCGAAGUUCCUGCAUUCGAGAUUUUUAUUAUUUUUUAAAUUUCAUGCGGUUUAUUUCUCGAUUUUUACAAAAUUGGUUAUUAUUACCGGCUAAUUCAUUUUUUAAUUUUCCUACGACGACAUUUGUGUCCACCAAGCGCUGUGCAUUUUUCGACGUGUUUUGCGAGAUUUCUUUUAAACGAAUUUGAUUAGUUGUCAAUCAUAAUUAUAAUUUUGAAACGAGAUCAUACCUGUACAUUUCUUCGACAAAUUUCCAACGGUGUCGUUCGUUUCAGUCAAGCGGCGUGAGAAGACUGUCAAUGGGUAAAG
Long non-coding RNA from Daphnia pulex (common water flea), 2783 nucleotides. RefSeq lists it as uncharacterized. Lineage: Eukaryota; Metazoa; Arthropoda; Branchiopoda; Diplostraca; Daphniidae. The transcript is spliced from 8 exons. The record is from RefSeq and is a predicted model, not a curated record.